ACUAAUCGGCACCUUGCCCAAGAACAGAACUUUGAACCCUCGGGUGGUGCGGCUCAUGGAACGCUACUUCACUGAAGCAGUUGCAGCCUGGCCAUUUCCCUGGAUCAGCAGUUCCUGAAUUUAUGUGAUCACAGAACAUUUUCAACACAACAAUAAGAUGACAGAACACCAUGAGCUAUAAUGCAUGCUUGAAUGAAAGCAAUGAAAAAUGGCCUCACAGACAAAUUCUCUGCUGCAAGGAAUGAUAAAAAUGUGAUAUACAGGGUUAAUGUACGAGAUACAUUGCAUAAAAGAUCCCGAAUAAGAAAAGGUACAGAGUGUGGAGCUGCAAUACUUGAUGGGAUGGCAGACGUGCUGAUGGUUUGGUAAACAGAACACCUCGGGAAAGAACAUUUGAGUGGCUUCUUCAGCCAAUGAUGGAUUAAUCUUCACUCUUUCUUGGGGACAGGAGAUAUCCACCUGAAGCACGACCAACAGGCGGCUGUGGCGAAGGGACAAGGUAUAGGAUUAGUAGACAUAAAAUUCUGCUGUGUAGUAAAGAAUUUAACCUUGGCCCCAGGGAAGUCAGGCCUUUGCUCUUGGAUCCUGGGAGGCCAUCUCUAAGCCCUUGGAAUGUGCUGUCUAAUAAAAACUUCUUUGUUUACCUGGGGGUGCUGGGCCAUGCCAGAGUCCAACAAUGUGAUUUAUGGUGGGGUUGGGUAACAUGGUAUCAGCUCAACCUCUAGAGGGGCUGGAGAUUGAGGUCAGCCACAUGACAAAGCCCCAGUCAAGGCUCUGGAGAGCUUCCGUGGUUGGCAGUACUCCCUGCAUACUGGACACACUGUUGCCAGGAGGAGUUAACACUGUGCAUGACUCCUCAGCAGGAGGACAGCUGGAAGCUCUGCAUUUGGAACUCUCCCGGACUCUCUGCCCCGUGCAUCUCUUUCCUUGGCUGAUUUUAAGCUGUUGACUUUCACUGUAAUAAACCGUAGCUGUUAAUAUAAUCGCUUUUAGUAAGCUCUGUGACUCUUCUAGUGAAUUAUUGAAACUGAGGGCGAUCUUGGGGAUGCCUGAACUUGAAAUUGGUAUCAGUAGUGAUGGUGGUUUAGUGGACUGUUCCCCAACUUUGCACCUGCUCUGCGUGGACUCAGGCAAUGUCAUUCACUUCCAGACCUCCCGGGGUUCUAUCUGCAGACGUGCUGGCAAUGGC
This 1189-nucleotide long non-coding RNA is filed under the name Pan troglodytes (chimpanzee). RNAcentral describes it as "long non-coding RNA NONPTRT011556". The record is from RNAcentral. Lineage: Eukaryota; Metazoa; Chordata; Mammalia; Primates; Hominidae.